CCUACGGGAGGCUGCAGUGAGGAAUAUUUGUCAAUGGGCGUAAGCCUGAACCAGCCAAGUCGCGUGAGGGAUGAAGGUUCUAUGGAUCGUAAACCUCUUUUAUAAGGGAAUAAAGUGUGGGACGUGUCCUGUUUUGUAUGUACCUUAUGAAUAAGGAUCGGCUAACUCCGUGCCAGCAGCCGCGGUAAUACGGAGGAUCCGAGCGUUCUCCGGAUUUAUUGGGUUUAACGGGUGCGUAGGCGGCCUUUUAAGUCAGCGGUGAAAGUCUGUGGCUCAACCAUAGAAUUGCCGUUGAAACUGGGAGGCUUGAGUAUGUUUGAGGCAGGCGGAAUGCGUGGUGUAGCGGUGAAAUGCUUAGAUAUCACGCAGAACCCCGAUUGCGAAGGCAGCCUGCCAAGCCAUGACUGACGCUGAUGCACGAAAGCGUGGGGAUCAAACAGGAUUAGAUACCCGAGUAGUC
This 460-nucleotide ribosomal RNA is filed under the name uncultured bacterium. RNAcentral's name for it is "partial 16S ribosomal RNA". It matches the Rfam family "Bacterial small subunit ribosomal RNA", at positions 338 to 795 of the family's 1533-position model. The record is from RNAcentral.